Molecule: ribosomal RNA, 468 nt
Filed under: uncultured bacterium
Lineage: Bacteria
Description: partial 16S ribosomal RNA
Rfam family: Bacterial small subunit ribosomal RNA
Source: RNAcentral
GACGAACGCUGGCGGCGUGCUUAAUACAUGCAAGUCGAACGGAAAGGCCCUGCUUUUGUGGGGUGCUCGAGUGGCGAAGGGGUGUGUAACACGUGAGUAACCUGCCCCUGACUUUGUGAUAACUCCAGGAAACUGGGGAUCAUACCGGAUAGGAGCUCCUGCUGCAUGGUGGGGGUUGGAAAGUUUCGGCGGUUGGGGAUGGACUCGCGGCUUAUCAGCUUGUUGGUGGGGUAGUGGCUUACCAAGGCUUUGACGGGUAGCCGGCCUGAGAGGGUGACCGGCCACAUUGGGACUGAGAGACGGACCAGACUCCUACGGGAGGCAGCAGUGGGGAAUAUUGCGCAAUGGGCGGAAGCCAGAUGCAGCAACGCCGCGUGCGUGAUGACGGCCUUCGGGUUGUAAACCGCUUUCGCCUGUAACGAAGCGUGAGUGACGGUAAUGGGUAAAGAAGCAACGGCUAACUACGUG